This is a long non-coding RNA of Dendroctonus ponderosae (mountain pine beetle), 809 nucleotides long. RefSeq lists it as uncharacterized. The record is from RefSeq and is a predicted model, not a curated record. The transcript has 2 exons. NCBI's taxonomy places the organism in Eukaryota, Metazoa, Arthropoda, Insecta, Coleoptera, Curculionidae.
CCUAAUUGCAUGUUUUACCUUCGAGGUGAAAGUUAAUGGAUUACUGGUUUUGUGAAAGAUAUCAGUAAAGUUUUUGCACAGUUCGAGAAUUACUAAUUUUUCUUCGGAAUUCAUGUCUUUAGUUCGAAGAGGAAUUUCAUUAUUUGGAUUUUUGUCAUGGUUGGUUUUUUGUUGUGAAAUUUUGAACUACAUUUUCAAAAGUGUUCAAUUCGUGAUCGGGUUCAAAAGACUCAACUGGAAACCGUUCUUUCAAGGUGAAAGAUACAAAUUGAUCAAUGUAGUUUUGGAUUUCAAUAGGUGCAAAUCCGUCUGAAAGAAGCGUGUGUUAAAAUUUGUGGAUCAAAAAUUUUAUUAUUUAUUUUUGACGGCUUUGUUAGAAUUUGCAUUCAAGUAUGUUUACAAAGUUUUCGCUCGAACGGUCGAGCAUUGCUGUCGAGCUGAUAUUGUGUUUUUAAAGUUAAAUUCCUUCAAGUGAUAAACCUUUGUGCACGAUGUUGUGUGGAAAAUGUAAACAUGCUACAACAAAAUAUGAAGACUUGAUCCAAUGCAAAAUUAAAUGCGGAACAAUCUACUGUAUAAAGUGUAUCGGAAUGACUCUUGACACUAUGAGCGAACUGAAUAGAAAUAGAAUAGUCGAACAAUGGAUUUGCCACAAAUGCGAAGAAGAGCAACAGGAACUGGACAAUCGUCUGACCCGUCGAUUCAAGAACCACCACCAAGAAUAUGGGAAUGUGUUACAUAUCAUAGUAAAAAGCCACUAAGGGGCAGCCCAGAAGAACCCUCUAGAGCUAAACGCCAAACCUUCAUGA